This 465-nucleotide ribosomal RNA is filed under the name uncultured bacterium. RNAcentral's name for it is "bacterial SSU rRNA". It matches the Rfam family "Bacterial small subunit ribosomal RNA", at positions 338 to 795 of the family's 1533-position model. The record is from RNAcentral.
CCUACGGGCUGCACCAGUGGGGAAUGUUGCACAAUGGGCGCAAGCCUGAUGCAGCCAUGCCGCGUGUAUGAAGAAGGCCUUAGGGUUGUAAAGUACUUUCAGUUGGGAGGAAGGCGUUGAUGCUAAUAUCAUCAACGAUUGACGUUACCAACAGAAGAAGCACCGGCUAACUCCGUGCCAGCAGCCGCGGUAAUACGGAGGGUGCAAGCGUUAAUCGGAAUUACUGGGCGUAAAGCGCGCGCAGGCGGUUGAUUAAGUUAGAUGUGAAAUCCCCGGGCUCAACCUGGGAACUGCAUUCGAAACUGGCAGGCUAGAGUCUUGUAGAGGGGGGUAGAAUUCCAGGUGUAGCGGUGAAAUGCGUAGAGAUCUGGAGGAAUACCGGUGGCGAAGGCGGCCCCCUGGACGAAGACUGACGCUCAGGUGCGAAAGCGUGGGGAGCAAACAGGAUUAGAUACCCCAGUAGUC